UAUUCGUCGGCGUGCACUUCUCCCCUAGUAGGACGUCGCGACCCGUUGGGUGCCGGUCUUAAAAGACCCGGGUGGAAGACUGUCGCUCCGUUCUAGCGGACGUGCGACAGACCCCCGGUGUCACAGAGACACCCGGCUGCCCGGCGGUACGCAUCGAUGGUAUCGGGCCGCAAAAUUUCGAACUGCGUCGGGCCCAUGUUGUCCGCGGUUGUCAGUUGUCUCACGGUGGCUUUUACGGACCUAGCGCCGGCCCCGUGCCUGACCCGCGAUCGACGGAUGGUGUCCUCCGACGGGCCACGCAAAUGCGCCCUUGCGGGCGCAGAACACGAUACCGGUCGGCGACGCUAUUGCUUUGGGUAAUCUCAGGACCCGUCUUGAAACACGGACCAAGGAGUCUAACAUGUGCGCGAGUCAUUGGGAUUCUGCAAACCUAAAGGCGAAAUGAAAGUGAAGAUCUGUCAGACGCCGUGCGCGCGCGCGCUCGUUACGCCCUCUUCGGUAGCGUGUCGUCGUCGUCGUCGACGGUGCUCGCGACACGAUCGAGGGAGGAUGGGUCGCGUUACGAUGCGACUCCGCACUCCCGGGGCGUCUCGCUCUCAUUCGAGAGGAGGCGCACCCAGAGCGUACACGUUGGGACCCGAAAGAUGGUGAACUAUGCCUGGUCAGGACG
This 670-nucleotide ribosomal RNA is filed under the name Epyris sp. Its description in RNAcentral is "partial large subunit ribosomal RNA". It matches the Rfam family "Eukaryotic large subunit ribosomal RNA", at positions 584 to 848 of the family's 3401-position model. The record is from RNAcentral. Lineage: Eukaryota; Metazoa; Arthropoda; Insecta; Hymenoptera; Bethylidae.